Entelurus aequoreus (snake pipefish) is the source of this 1942-nucleotide long non-coding RNA. RefSeq lists it as uncharacterized. The transcript has 11 exons. Lineage: Eukaryota; Metazoa; Chordata; Actinopteri; Syngnathiformes; Syngnathidae. The record is from RefSeq and is a predicted model, not a curated record.
CCUGCCAACAGGAAUACACUUGUACGCCUCGCUGCUCUUUAGGUAAAUUCAUACAAAUUUUGGAAAGGAAAACACAAGUGUGGUUCUUAAUCAUGGAUUCCAGAUAGUCCUCAGAUUUGUUGGAUCUUCUUGGCACACCUUGCAAUCAUCAACUUCGACGACCAGUCGCUGUUCAGCCAAAUGACAGGAAGCGAGCAUGUUAACAAGCAGUGAACAGUCUCUGAGUGGCCUGCCCAUCACCUGCAUGCUCCCACACACACCGCACACCCUGCAACCAUCAACCUCAAUGACCAGUCGCUGUCCAGCAAAAUGACAGGAAGCGAGAAUGUUAACAAACAGUACAUAAACAAUCAGUACACAGUUGCUGAGUGGCCUCUCCAUCACCUGCAUGCUCCCACUCCACCGUGGAAGUCCCCCUCAUCGUCGGAUCAAGCAAAGUAUUACCAGCUAGCCGACAUAGAGAAACAUAUCCACCAAGAGAUGUACCCAAACUGGUCCUGCACAGACAACUAUGGCAAAAGGAAGAGGAAGCAGGGGACAAAGGUCUCGACAGGAAAAGAAUGUCCAUGUACUUGCCACUGUGGGACACAAUAAAAGAAAAGGCAGACCUGCCAACAGGAAUACGCUUGUAAGCCUCGCUGCUUUCUAGCAUGGAGCUGACGCCAGAGAGGCUACUGGAGAGGAGGUGAAGUGGUACGAGUUACUGAUGCAGCUCCUCCAACCAGUGAUGGAGAUGGAUGUCCUGGACAACUAUCAAAAUCAUUCACCGCCAUCUCUACAAGCAGUACAUGAACCAUCAGUGAACAGUCUCUGAGUGGCCUGUCCAUCACCUGCAUGCUCCUACUCCACCGGCACAGUCACCAAGCUCUGUGGAAACCAAUAUUUACCGCUGACUUAUUGGCCGGAAAAGCAGAGGCUUAUAUCCUGCGCUCAACUCCCUCCUCGUGUAUCGUCGUAGUGGCCAACCCUUGGACGUCCGUCUCCCCGCCAGUCGCAGUGUUGCUCCACUCGCCGACGCCAUCUAAAUCUUCCAUGGCUUGGACUGGCGGCCGUCCCUCUGGUUCCUUGUGGCUGGGGCGCUGUUUUAGUGACCCUCUGCCAGGUCCACCUCCCUUUGUUUUUUGGGGAAUAUCUAGGAUCCGUUCCUUGGGGUAAGGGGGGUGUGUUCCUUUCAUGAUCCCACAUGACAGUUUGGACAAUAUUAUGUUUCCUGUACGUUGUAUUAUUUCCUGCUUUUAUUUUUCGUUCCACUUCCUGUCUGCCUUUGUUUACCAGCCACAUUACUUCUGAAAUGAGCACCUGCCCCUAGUUUGUAAUUAGUAGGCUCACCUGCCGGCAAUCACUAAUCAUUAAGCUUCUUAUGCCUGCCUUGUGCAGAGAACAAUGCUGAUUUAGUUGAUUUUUGUAUGUAAAAAGAAAACAUGUUUUUGUGUGUAUCAUCUAGUAAUAAUGAGUGAGGGUUAAGAGAGGGAACACACAUUACCAUAGGUGGUGGAAAUGCACCUCCCGCCCCACAACAUUGUUGAUUGACAUCUUUGUGAGUUACUGAGGGCCGAGUGGUCGAUUCCCCUGAUUUUAGUUGCAGGCAGUGUGCGUUAAUUCUUUAAUUUUUAUCUAUACGUCUAUGUGUCAGCCUUCCAUCUGAAGUCAGCUGGGAUAGGCUCCAGCUCCCCGUUUUUUCAAAGGAUAACGUAAGACAGGAGGAACUGUUCCACCAUGACUCAAAUGGAAAAAAGAGAAAAAAUAAAAUAUAAGCUCUGUUUAGGUUUUUAGUCAGGCUUCUUUCUUGUCAUCCAUUCUUCUGUACUAUGUAAAAAAGAGAAUUGAUCAAACAUGGAUGGUUAAAGAAUGGCUGUGUGUUGGUAUUGAUGCUUUUAUUUUGCUCCUACUUUGUGGAAAGUUAUAAUGCAUAUCAUUUCAAAGCUUCUUCUAAAAUAAAAUC